UACGGUAGGGUGCAAGCGUUGUCCGGAUUUAUUGGGCGUAAAGAGCUCGUAGGCGGUCUGUCGCGUCGGAUGUGAAAACCCAGGGCUCAACCCUGGGCCUGCAUUCGAUACGGGCAGACUAGAGUGUGGCAGGGGAGACUGGAAUUCCUGGUGUAGCGGUGAAAUGCGCAGAUAUCAGGAGGAACACCGGUGGCGAAGGCGGGUCUCUGGGCCAAUACUGACGCUGAGGAGCGAAAGCGUGGGGAGCGAACAGG
RNAcentral lists this ribosomal RNA (254 nucleotides) under uncultured bacterium. RNAcentral describes it as "partial 16S ribosomal RNA". It matches the Rfam family "Bacterial small subunit ribosomal RNA", at positions 524 to 776 of the family's 1533-position model. The record is from RNAcentral.